Molecule: non-coding RNA, 883 nt
Organism: Myodes glareolus (Bank vole)
Lineage: Eukaryota; Metazoa; Chordata; Mammalia; Rodentia; Cricetidae
Source: RefSeq, a predicted model, not a curated record
AAGCACUGGGAUGAGCUUUGGGGGUCCAUUCGAAGGGAGAAAGGAGGUAUAACAUGAGGAAGGGGCAGCAAUAUCAUGAUGAGGAAACCCACAGAGACAGCUGAUCCCAGCCAGAAUGAGUUCGUGGGAGCUCAAGGACUCUAGAAUGUCAACAACGGAGCCUACAUGGAACUGACCUAGGCCUCUGCAUCAUUGCUCUGCACCGUGAUUAUGGCCAAUGUGAAGCUUCAGCAACUCAGCUCCGGACAGGACUCCAAAUGACCAGACUUUAAAAAUGAUGGGUUGUGUCACCCUAUCAGCCAUGAGAAUUUCAGUUUCUUCAAUUUUAAACUUCAGGAUGCACCGAAGCAAAUACUCAGUUUUUCAGGAACGAUUAAUAUGUUAUGACAUCAGAUUCCACGGUUCUGAGCCCUUGAGACUUGGACAGCAAGGAAAAAAGACCAACUAUAAGGAUGAUGUUAUUUCAAAGACACCAAGUAACUUCACUCAAAUUGUUGUUGGGAAUCAGAGAAAACUGGAUGUCUAGAGAAAUCUCAUGAAUGGAUACAUGGAUUUAUGAGCCUGAAUUUGAUCUUCCACAAGAAAAGAAACCUACUGAUUAAGCAAUCCUGGCUGUUCAGAGAGACCAACAGUCUCUGUCUCAUCAUCCACCCUGGGCUUUGGAUGUUCACCACCUCUUCUUAUAUGACGCUUGUACGUGUGCGGCAUAAGUUACUGUGCUCCACGGUGGUCCAAGGACAACUUCAAGUUUGGGUUCUCACCUUCCACCUUUCUGAGACAUGGUCAUUCUGCUGUUUGCCUCAGUGAAUAGCAGGCUUAGCCACCUGUGAGCUUCGUGGGUUCUCCCAUCUUCACCUGCCAUUUCACCACGGAAGCACUGAGA